Molecule: microRNA precursor, 60 nt
Filed under: Echinops telfairi (small Madagascar hedgehog)
Lineage: Eukaryota; Metazoa; Chordata; Mammalia; Afrosoricida; Tenrecidae
Description: Ete-Mir-490_pre stem-loop
Source: RNAcentral
CCAUGGAUCUCCAGGUGGGUCCGAGAUAGAUGCACACCAACCUGGUGGACUCCAUGCUGU